UAGCUCAGUGGUAGAGUGCGUGCCUGGCAUGCACAGGUCCUGGGUUCAAUCCCCAG
Molecule: transfer RNA, 56 nt
Filed under: Camelus bactrianus (Bactrian camel)
Lineage: Eukaryota; Metazoa; Chordata; Mammalia; Artiodactyla; Camelidae
Also listed under: 1 other name
Rfam family: tRNA
About the family: Transfer RNA (tRNA) molecules are approximately 80 nucleotides in length. Their secondary structure includes four short double-helical elements and three loops (D, anti-codon, and T loops).
Source: Rfam by way of RNAcentral